GAGGGGGAGAGAGGAUAGGUAGAGGAGAACUUCUCGAGAUGGAGUUUGAAGAGGAGACUCGCCCGGGUGGAAGAGAGGGAGAUGAGCAUCAACAUAUAAGUUGCCCUUAGGCAAAUGUUUAAUUUCCUGCUUCCUGGUCCUCUGUGCCAAUGAGAUGGCCUGUAGCAGGCACAUGACUGAUGAGGGAACAAUCAGAGACUUUCACUGUAAGCAUCAAUGUAGUGGAGUGUGACAACACCACCACUGUUGAAUUUAUAAACACACACACACACACACACACACACACACACACACACACACACACACACACACACACACACACACACACACGUAAAUUAUUGUCUGUUUACUGUGCCAGUAUCAGAACAGUCUAGGCCCUACAGGUAUGUUCUCUACUUUUAUAUACUACUGGCUACAAGGAUGAGACUGACUCCCAGAGCCCACCACCCUGACCUAACCUGUGAUGAAAACACAUGGAUUUGACAUGACCUGUCUACAAGUGCCAUCCCUAUGCUGUAGAGAGUAGGGUGACGUACUAGAGUGACAGAGCCUGCUAGGUGACAGGGUGUGGUAGAGAGUAGGGUGACGUACUAGAGUGACAGAGCCUGCUAGGUGACAGGGUGUGGUAGAGAGUAGGGUGACAUACUAGAGUGACAGAGCCUGCUAGGUGACAGUGGGUCAGUGUGUAGUAGAGAGUAGUGUGAGGUGUACUGUCAGGAAUAUAUGUUCCCAAACACCACAGAGUUUAGGAGAGUGUUUCCAUACACCACAGAGAAUAUGAGAGUGUUCCCAUACACCACAGAGUUUAGGAGAGUGUUCCCAUACACCACAGAGUUUAGGAGAGUGUUCCCAUACACCACAGAGUUUAGGAGAGUGUUCCCACACACCACAGAGUUUAGGAGAGUGUUCCCAUACACCACAGAGUUUAGGAGAGUGUUCCCAUACACCACAGAGUUUAUGAGAGUGUUCCCAUACACCACAGAGUUUAUGAGAGUGUUCCCAUACACCACAGAGUUUAUGAGAGUGUUCCCAUACACUACAGAGUUUAGGAGAGUGUUCCCAAACACCACAGAGUUUAGGAGAGUGUUCCCAUACACCACAGAGUUUAGGAGAGUGUUCCCAAACACCACAGAGUUUAGGAGAGUGUUCCCAUACACCACAGAGAAUAUGAGAGUGUUCCCAUACACCACAGAGAAUAUGAGAGUGUUCCCAUACACCACAGAGAAUAUGAGAGUGUUUCCAUACACCACAGAGAAUAUGAGAGUGUUUCCAUACACCACAGAGAAUAUGAGAGUGUUUCCAUACACCACAGAGAAUAUGAGAGUGUUUCCAUACACCACAGAGUUUAGGAGUGUUCCCAUACACCACAGAGUUUAUGAGAGUGUUCCCGUACACCACAGAGUUUAUGAGAGUGUUCCCGUACACCACAGCAUUUAGGAGAGUGUUCCCAUACACCAAAGAGUUUAUGAGAGUGUUCCCGUACACCACAGAGUUUAUGAGAGUGUUCCCAUACACCACAGCAUUUAGGAGAGUGUUCCCAUACACCACAGAGUUUAGGAGAGUGUUCCCAUACACCACAGAGUUAAGGAGUGUUCCCAUACACCACAGAUAAUAUGAGAGUGUUCCCAUACACCACAGAGUUUAGGAGAGUGUUCCCAUAAACCACAGAGUUUAGGAGAGUGUUCCCAUACACCACAGAGUUUAUGAGAGUGUUCCCAUACACCACAGAGUUUAGGAGAGUGUUCCCACAGAGUUUAGGAGAGUGUUCCUAUACACCACAGAGUUUAUGAGAGUGUUCCCAUACACCACAGAGUUUAUGAGAGUGUUCCCAUACACCACAGAGUUUAUGAGAGUGUUCCCAUACACCACAGAGUUUAGGAGAGUGUUCCCAUACACCACAGAGUUUAUGAGAGUGUUCCCAUACACCACAGAGUUUAUGAGAGUGUUCCCAUACACCACAGAGUUUAGGAGAGUGUUCCCAAACACCACAGAGUUUAGGAGAGUGUUCCCAUACACCACAGAGUUUAGGAGAGUGUUCCCAAACACCACAGAGUUUAGGAGAGUGUUUCCAUACACCACAGAGAAUAUGAGAGUGUUCCCAUACACCACAGAGAAUAUGAGAGUGUUCCCAUACACCAUAGAGAAUAUGAGUGUUCCCAUACACCACAGAGAAUAUGAGAGUGUUUCCAUACACCACAGAGAAUAUGAGAGUGUUUCCAUACACCACAGAGAAUAUGAGAGUGUUUCCAUACACCACAGAGUUUAGGAAAGUGUUUCCAUACACCACAGAGUUUAGGAGAGUGUUCCCAUACACCACAGCAUUUAGGAGAGUGUUCCCAUACACCACAGCAUUUAGGAGAGUGUUCCCAUACACCACAGAGUUUAGGAGAGGGUUCCCAUACACCACAGAGUUUAGGAGUGUUCCCAUACACCACAGAUAAUAUGAGAGUGUUUCCAUACACCACAGAGAAUAUGAGAGUGUUCCCAUACACCACAGAGUUUAGGAGUGUUCCCAUACACCACAGAUAAUAUGAGAGUGUUUCCAUACACCACAGAGAAUAUGAGAGUGUUCCCAUACACCACAGAGUUUAGGAGAGUGUUCCCAUACACCACAGCAUUUGGGAGAGUGUUCCCAUACACCACAGCAUUUAGGAGCGUGUUCCCAUACACCACAGCACUUAGGAGUGUGUUCCCAUACACCACAGCAUUUAGGAGAGUGUUCCCAUAGACCACAGAGUUUAGGAUUGUUCCCAUACACCACAGCAUUUAGGAGAGUGUUCCCAUACACCACAGCAUUUAGGAGUGUUCCCAUACACCACAGCAUUUAGGAGUGUUCCCAUACACCACAGCACUUAGGAGUGUUCCCGUACACCAGGCCUGUUUUACGUCUGCUUCUGUAGGUAAAAAACUAUUAUUUUCUAUUACAAGACCUUCAUCCCACUAACUUUCUAGAUUUAAAUGUAUUUAUUUAUUUUGGCAACUUCAGUUUCUCUUUUCAACUGUUACUGCAUAUGCACUGGUGUUAUAGUGAUGAUGUCACCCAUCAAUCAUCUACUUACUGAGACCUGGCUGGUCUCUCGUGUAAGCUUCUCCCCAAGGUUCCACCGUUGGUCUCAGUCAUUGGGUGUCCUGUAAUCGUAACAGAUAUUAUCUGCCUGUCAUUGGCCGAAAGAGAAGACGGACAGCUUGGCCAUCCAAUUAUAUCAUACAGACGUGGAAUCGGAUGGAUAUAGUAUGAACUCUGUGUGUUAUGCAAAGUUCCUAACCAAGUGGGAAUUUACCACAUACGACUGGGGAAAAAUCCACUUCAACAACCCCCAACUGGUGAUUACUAGCAGAUAAGUAGUAUAGCAUCCAGCUCCCACUUCUCCCACAUGCUGACCUCUGACAUCAAAAUACUAAGGAAAUGACCUCGAUAACAGCACUUUCAGCAGUUAAAAUGCAACAACAAAACAUUGUUUAAAAAAAAAAAAAUAAUCUAUUAAUAUGUUUUUUUGAACGCUAUAAUUUAUUUACAAGCAUGAUAGCUGGACUUUAAGUUUAUGGUUUAUGCAGCUUGUUGGCCAUUAGCCAAAUGGCGUUUCUCAAUGAGUUCAAAGACACGUGAAUGCAUCCAACUAGUAUUUAACAACUUCACAACUGGUAAAUUCCCACCUCCCACUUGGUUACGAAUGCAGCAUUAUUAACAACUAACGGCAAGUGUUCACUUUCUAGCUCUGUUGAUUUGGUUCAUAUGUCAUGCACUCACACUGUUUCAGUCUUACUAUAUGUUUGUAAAGAACAGCCUAACACCAGAGCAUGUAUUUAUUGUAUAGAAGCAAAGUAAACUAGAUCUUGAGCUGUGAAUUUGUAUGUAUGUACUGUCAAAUAUGAAAAGAUGGAUAUACUGUAUGUAAAGUAUUUAUAAAAUUAUAUAAAGCUG
Salmo salar (Atlantic salmon) is the source of this 3922-nucleotide non-coding RNA. Lineage: Eukaryota; Metazoa; Chordata; Actinopteri; Salmoniformes; Salmonidae. The record is from RefSeq and is a predicted model, not a curated record.